Molecule: non-coding RNA, 111 nt
Filed under: Geomicrobium sp. JCM 19039
Lineage: Bacteria; Bacillati; Bacillota; Bacilli; Caryophanales
Description: Bacterial large subunit ribosomal RNA
Rfam family: Bacterial large subunit ribosomal RNA
Source: Rfam by way of RNAcentral
GUCACGUCAAGUGAGUAAGACCCCUGAGAGACGAUCAGGUAGAUAGGUCUGGUGUGGAAGUGUGGCGACACAUGGAGCUGACAGAUACUAAUCGGUCGAGGAUUUAUCCAC